AUUGAACACUGGCGGAAUGCUUUACACAUGCAAGUCGAACGGCAGCACGGACUUCGGUCUGGUGGCGAGUGGCGAACGGGUGAGUAAUGUAUCGGAACGUGCCCAGUCGUGGGGGAUAACGUAGUGAAAAUUACGCUAAUACCGCAUACGAUCUGUGGAUGAAAGCGGGGGAUCGCAAGACCUCGCGCGAUUGGAGCGGCCGAUAUCAGAUUAGGUAGUUGGUGGGGUAAAGGCCCACCAAGCCAACGAUCUGUAGCUGGUCUGAGAGGACGACCAGCAACACUGGAACUGAGACACGGUCCAGACGCCUACGGGAGGCAGCAGUGGGGAAUUUUGGAAAAUGGGCGAAAGCCUGAUCCAGCCAUUCCGCGUGCAGGAUGAAGGCCCUCGGGUUGUAAACUGCUUUUGUACAGAACGAAAAGGUUUCUACUAAUACUAGGAGCUCAUGACGGUGCUGUAAGAAUAAGCACCGGCUAACUACGUGCCAGCCGCCGCCGUAA
RNAcentral lists this ribosomal RNA (500 nucleotides) under uncultured bacterium. RNAcentral describes it as "partial 16S ribosomal RNA". It matches the Rfam family "Bacterial small subunit ribosomal RNA", at positions 30 to 523 of the family's 1533-position model. The record is from RNAcentral.